GGUGGGUUUGGAAACUGGCCUUGUGCAUCUGCAUUCGCAUCUUUCCAUCAGUUCAUUGUCCAUUAUGCCGUGGAAUCCAUGUCAGCUGACCGUGAACUUGCGUCACAUUGGCCAAGAAGAAAAAUACGGGCUCUCCGGAUCGUUCUUCCCUGUGCCAUGCCUCAUCGCGACACCAGCAGGCGAAGCCAAUAGAAAUGCAUCAGCAUUAGUGUUGAACUUCUUGAAAAAUCUUGGAUCUUCAGCAUGGGUGCCAUGAACAACUUUCAACCAGAAGACAUUGAUGAGGAAAAUCAAGUUAGACUUUCGUUUCAGUGAACUGAAAUGGUUUUCCAUAAAUUGAGUUAACAAACCAUGGUUUUAGACCAGCUUCUAAAUUGCGGGUGCCCUCUGCCUUGUCUCCAAGCAAUGUUUGAUUGAGGUGCCUUCUCUGCUUUCCCCGUAGUUGCUUGCAGACCCGUGUAUGCUGACUCCAAUCUCCAGUCAGGCCUCACCUGCUACAUGGAGCAAUUUGACUUGAGGAGCAUCAUAUAGGUAGCUACCAGGCUCCUGUCUACACGGCUGUAGCUGUCGAUUUUAAUCCACUUGUAUCAGCCACAGACGCCCCUGACCCAUGGAUUUCCAGACGUCACUAGACACCACUACCAGUAUUAUGAAGCACUGUGCAUAUCCAGUCUCAUGGCUUAUUCUUACAGUCCGUGCUAUAAUGAGGAUUAUGGAAAUUUCUAAACUCCUCCGUACUUUCAAGCCUGGGAAAUGGACGUAUGUGUGUAGGAGGAACAUCGAGGGAAGGGACUAGUAUAUACACCUAACUGACAAGUUGAAAUCUGCAUAUUGCUGAUGCAUAAAAAUUCUUCCACUGCAAUCACUUCUCUCAAAUUGAUUUCUUAGAAUCUGUGUUGUUAUCAAAAUAUAAUGUCCACACAGAGGGUGGAUAAUUAACCAAACAUGGAUUGUUUUGCUGCACGUGUUUUGUGUGUCCGUGCUUAGCUGGGCUCGUUGACCUGGAAAAGGUUCAUGUUGUCGAAGCUACACGCUUUAGAAACAGCUGUGUGUACGAGUUGGUUUUUAUCGUAUGUUUAUUUUAAUUUAUUGCUGAUCCGUCAUAUGGAACUUGGAUGUGAUGUGUAGGAAAUAGCAUAUCAGGGCAAAAACUAAUUAGAAAAUAAUCAAUUGAAAAAUAAAAACAGAGGAACCUGCACGGAUUCAAGCAAGAUCUUCAGUAAAAUAUCACAGAGGUGACCAAACGUGCUAGAUCUUCUCAAUUUUGCUAAGAAAAUUUGUCAUAGUGUUUCAAGUGGAAGUUUAGGGG
This is a long non-coding RNA of Brienomyrus brachyistius, 1309 nucleotides long. RefSeq lists it as uncharacterized. The record is from RefSeq and is a predicted model, not a curated record. NCBI's taxonomy places the organism in Eukaryota, Metazoa, Chordata, Actinopteri, Osteoglossiformes, Mormyridae. The transcript has 2 exons.